UACGUAGGGUGCAGGCGUUAAUCGGAAUUACUGGGCGGAAAGCGUGCGCAGGCGGUCUGCUAAGAGAGGUGUGAAAUCCCCGGGCUUAACCUGGGAACUGCGCUUCUAACUGGCAGGCUUUAGUGUGGCAGAGGGGGGUGGAAUUCCACGUGUAGCAGUGAAAUGCGUAGAGAUGUGGAGGAACACCGAUGGCGAAGGCAGCCCCCUGGGCUAACACUGACGCUCAUGCACGAAAGCGUGGGGAGCAAACAGG
RNAcentral lists this ribosomal RNA (253 nucleotides) under uncultured bacterium. Its description in RNAcentral is "partial 16S ribosomal RNA". It matches the Rfam family "Bacterial small subunit ribosomal RNA", at positions 524 to 776 of the family's 1533-position model. The record is from RNAcentral.